RNAcentral lists this transfer RNA (69 nucleotides) under Rhodiola rosea. RNAcentral's name for it is "tRNA-Met". The stretch from base 8 to 65 matches the Rfam family "tRNA", at positions 8 to 63 of the family's 71-position model. From Rfam's summary of the family: Transfer RNA (tRNA) molecules are approximately 80 nucleotides in length. Their secondary structure includes four short double-helical elements and three loops (D, anti-codon, and T loops). The record is from RNAcentral. RNAcentral also lists the same sequence under 2 other names. Lineage: Eukaryota; Viridiplantae; Streptophyta; Magnoliopsida; Saxifragales; Crassulaceae.
GUACGAGUAGAGGAUUGGUCGACUCAUCAGGCCCAUGACCUGAAGACUGCAGGUUCGAAUCCUGCUACC